UUAGUUGAAGCCAAAAUAGAGGCCUUUCAUUGUUAAUGAAAAAAUUGGGCUUUAUACUACCCCAACUAAA
This 70-nucleotide transfer RNA is filed under the name Lethocerus deyrollei. RNAcentral's name for it is "tRNA-Asn". The record is from RNAcentral. RNAcentral also lists the same sequence under 1 other name. Lineage: Eukaryota; Metazoa; Arthropoda; Insecta; Hemiptera; Belostomatidae.